CAUAGCGUAAUGAAGCGAACCGGGGGAACUGAAACAUCUAAGUACCCCGAGGAAAAGAAAUCAACCGAGAUUCCCCCAGUAGCGGCGAGCGAACGGGGAGCAGCCCAGAGUCUGAAUCAGCUUGUGUGUUAGUGGAACGGUCUGGAAAGUCCGACGGUACAGGGUGAUAGUCCCGUACACCAAAAUGCACAGGUUGUGAACUCGAAGAGUAGGGCGGGACACGUGGUAUCCUGUCUGAAUAUGGGGGGACCAUCCUCCAAGGCUAAAUACUCCUGACUGACCGAUAGUGAACCAGUACCGUGAGGGAAAGGCGAAAAGAACCCCGGCGAGGGGAGUGAAAAAGAACCUGAAACCGUGUACGUACAAGCAGUGGGAGCCUACUUGUUAGGUGACUGCGUACCUUUUGUAUAAUGGGUCAGCGACUUAUAUUCUGUAGCAAGGUUAACCGUAUAGGGGAGCCGAAGGGAAACCGAGUCUUAACUGGGCGUUAAGUUGCAGGGUAUAGACCCGAAACCCGGUGAUCUAGCCAUGGGCAGGUUGAAGGUUGGGUAACACUAACUGGAGGACCGAACCGACUAAUGUUGAAAAAUUAGCGGAUGACUUGUGGCUGGGGGUGAAAGGCCAAUCAAACCGGGAGAUAGCUGGUUCUCCCCGAAAGCUAUUUAGGUAGCGCCUCGUGAAUUCAUCUUCGGGGGUAGAGCACUGUUUCGGCUAGGGGGUCAUCCCGACUUACCAACCCGAUGCAAACUGCGAAUACCGAAGAAUGUUAUCACGGGAGACACACGGCGGGUGCUAACGUCCGUCGUGAAGAGGGAAACAACCCAGACCGCCAGCUAAGGUCCCAAAGUCAUGGUUAAGUGGGAAACGAUGUGGGAAGGCACAGACAGCCAGGAUGUUGGCUUAGAAGCAGCCAUCAUUUAAAGAAAGCGUAAUAGCUCACUGGUCGAGUCGGCCUGCGCGGAAGAUGUAACGGGGCUAAACCAUGCACCGAAGCUGCGGCAGCGACACUAUGUGUUGUUGGGUAGGGGAGCGUUCUGUAAGCCGUUGAAGGUGGCCUGUGAGGGUUGCUGGAGGUAUCAGAAGUGCGAAUGCUGACAUAAGUAACGAUAAUGCGGGUGAAAAACCCGCACGCCGGAAGACCAAGGGUUCCUGUCCAACGUUAAUCGGGGCAGGGUGAGUCGACCCCUAAGGCGAGGCCGAAAGGCGUAGUCGAUGGGAAACAGGUUAAUAUUCCUGUACUUGGUGUUACUGCGAAGGGGGGACGGAGAAGGCUAUGUUAGCCGGGCGACGGUUGUCCCGGUUUAAGCAUGUAGGCGGAGGUUCCAGGUAAAUCCGGUACCUUUUUAACGCUGAGGUGUGAUGACGAGGCACUACGGUGCUGAAGUAACAAAUGCCCUGCUUCCAGGAAAAGCCUCUAAGCAUCAGGUAACACGAAAUCGUACCCCAAACCGACACAGGUGGUCAGGUAGAGAAUACCAAGGCGCUUGAGAGAACUCGGGUGAAGGAACUAGGCAAAAUGGUGCCGUAACUUCGGGAGAAGG
RNAcentral lists this ribosomal RNA (1541 nucleotides) under Citrobacter freundii. Its description in RNAcentral is "partial 23S ribosomal RNA". It matches the Rfam family "Bacterial large subunit ribosomal RNA", at positions 165 to 1746 of the family's 2925-position model. Lineage: Bacteria; Pseudomonadati; Pseudomonadota; Gammaproteobacteria; Enterobacterales; Enterobacteriaceae. The record is from RNAcentral.